This 33-nucleotide transfer RNA is filed under the name Rhytidophyllum tomentosum. RNAcentral describes it as "partial transfer RNA-Phe". Lineage: Eukaryota; Viridiplantae; Streptophyta; Magnoliopsida; Lamiales; Gesneriaceae. The record is from RNAcentral.
UGGUCGGGAUAGCUCAGCUGGUAGAGCAGAGGC